RNAcentral lists this transfer RNA (72 nucleotides) under Streptomyces chartreusis. RNAcentral's name for it is "tRNA-Asn". It matches the Rfam family "tRNA". Rfam says of the family: Transfer RNA (tRNA) molecules are approximately 80 nucleotides in length. The record is from RNAcentral. RNAcentral also lists the same sequence under 8 other names. Lineage: Bacteria; Bacillati; Actinomycetota; Actinomycetes; Kitasatosporales; Streptomycetaceae.
UGACGUGUAGCUCAAUGGCAGAGCAGGGCACUGUUAAUGCUCGGGUUGCUGGUUCGAGUCCAGCCAUGUCAG